GUGUUCAUUUCAGCAACACAUAUAAUAAAAUGGAAACAAUACAGAGAUUAGUGUGGCCCCUGCAUAAGGACGACAUCCAAAUUCAUGAAAUGUCCAAAUUCAUG
Nycticebus coucang (slow loris) is the source of this 104-nucleotide small nuclear RNA. NCBI's taxonomy places the organism in Eukaryota, Metazoa, Chordata, Mammalia, Primates, Lorisidae. The record is from RefSeq and is a predicted model, not a curated record.